This 817-nucleotide long non-coding RNA is filed under the name Brachypodium distachyon (stiff brome). Its description in RNAcentral is "long non-coding RNA (BDIS_LNC003933)". Lineage: Eukaryota; Viridiplantae; Streptophyta; Magnoliopsida; Poales; Poaceae. The record is from RNAcentral.
CCCCGCGGCCGUGGACAUCUUCAAGCUCUCCCGCUCCGACCUGGGCCGCCUCCGCGCCCAGCUCCCCACGGGGGAAGGCGCGCCCCGGUUCAGCACCUACGCGGUGCUCGGCGCGCACGUGUGGCGUUGCGCGUCGCUGGCCCGCGGGCUGGCGCCCGAGCAGCCGACGAAGCUGUACUGCGCCACGGACGGGCGCCAGCGGCUGCUGCCGCCGCUCCCGGAGGGUUACUUCGGCAACGUCAUCUUCACGGCCACGCCGCUCGCCGAGGCCGGCAAGGUGAUCGCCUCGCUGGCGGACGGCGCGAACACGAUCCAGGCCGCGCUGGAGAGGAUGGACAACGAGUACUGCCGCUCGGCGCUGGACUACCUGGAGCUGCAGCCGGACCUGUCGGCGCUGGUCCGGGGCGCGCACACGUUCCGGUGCCCCAACCUCGGGCUCACCAGCUGGGUGCGCCUGCCCAUCCACGAAGCCGACUUCGGCUGGGGCCGCCCUGUCUUCAUGGGCCCCGGCGGCAUCGCCUACGAGGGCCUCGCCUUCGUGCUCCCCAGCGCCAGCCGCGACGGCAGCCUGUCCGUGGCCAUCUCGCUGCAGGCCGAGCACAUGGAGAAGUUCCGGAAGAUGAUCUUCGACUUCUGAAACAACGAACCAACAAACAGCACACGACACAAGGAUGAAGGACGGCACCGGAUCAGCACAAGGCAGCAGGGGCGAUGUGUCACGACCUUUACUAGGAUGCAGCAAAUGAUUCUUUGAUUCCAAACCGUAGUUCCUGCACAUUUUCCCUUCCUUCUUGCCAGUUUGGGCAUGACCAGGACG